CGGGGGGAUGACGGUACCGGAAGAAUAAGCACCGGCUAACUACGUGCCAGCAGCCGCGGUAAUACGUAGGGUGCAAGCGUUAAUCGGAAUUACUGGGCGUAAAGCGUGCGCAGGCGGUUCGCUAAGACAGAUGUGAAAUCCCCGGGCUUAACCUGGGAACUGCAUUUGUGACUGGCGGGCUAGAGUAUGGCAGAGGGGGGUAGAAUUCCACGUGUAGCAGUGAAAUGCGUAGAGAUGUGGAGGAAUACCGAUGGCGAAGGCAGCCCCCUGGGCCAAUACUGACGCUCAUGCACGAAAGCGUGGGGAGCAAACAGGAUUAGAUACCCUGGUAGUCCACGCCCUAAACGAUGUCAACUAGUUGUCGGGUCUUCAUUGACUUGGUAACGUAGCUAACGCGUGAAGUUGACCGCCUGGGGAGUACGGUCGCAAGAUUAAAACUCAAAGGAAUUGACGGGGACCCGCACAAGCGGUGGAUGAUGUGGAUUAAUUCGAUGCAACGCGAAAAACCUUACCUACCCUUGACAUGUAUGGA
RNAcentral lists this ribosomal RNA (532 nucleotides) under Paraburkholderia sp. RNAcentral's name for it is "bacterial SSU rRNA". It matches the Rfam family "Bacterial small subunit ribosomal RNA", at positions 462 to 994 of the family's 1533-position model. Lineage: Bacteria; Pseudomonadati; Pseudomonadota; Betaproteobacteria; Burkholderiales; Burkholderiaceae. The record is from RNAcentral.